RNAcentral lists this unclassified non-coding RNA (1962 nucleotides) under Homarus americanus (American lobster). RNAcentral describes it as "arrestin homolog, transcript variant X1". Lineage: Eukaryota; Metazoa; Arthropoda; Malacostraca; Decapoda; Nephropidae. The record is from RNAcentral.
CUCAUUUGACCUAGUUUACCUGAGCGCACCUGACGAUAGCUUGGACGACACCUACAAACACACUACCGCUACCAUGGUUGUCAAGCUCCAAGUAUUUAAGAAAAGUUCCCCAAAUAAUAAGCUGACACUCUACUUAACCAAGCGAGAUUAUUUCGACCAUGUGACACACGUUGACCCGAUAGAGGGCGUGUUAGUCCUCGAUCCCAAUUACGUGAGCGACCGCAAUGUGUACGUUCAGAUCGUCCUCACCUUCAGGUUCGGGAGGGAAGAAGAUGAAUCGAUGGGUUAUAACUUCGUCAAGACUAUGUACCUAGGCACUACCCAGCUCUACCCUCCUGUCACGUGCUUCCCGCCUUCUGAGAUACAGCGUAAUCUCAUCUCCAAGCUGGGGAACUUCGCCUUCCCUUUUAUGUUGGAGUUCCCGAAGCUGUCGACGCCCUCUUACACCAUGAUGCAGGGCUGGGAGGAGGAGGGGAGGCUCAUUGGGGUCGAGUUUGAGGUGAUGGGGUUUGUGGGAGUCAACGAGCAGGACUGCCAUAAGAGGAGUAGUUGUCGUCUGACGGUCCGCCGCCUGAUGGAGUGCCCUGCCCGGCUGUUCGACGCCCCGGCCCCCCGAGGCAACAUCACCAAGACUUUCCUCACUUGCUCCGGCUCCGUCACCCUGGAGGCUUCCCUCACCUCUAACGUGUACUUCCCCGAGGAGGAGAUCCCUGUGCAGGUCACCAUCAAGAACAACACCACCAGGGAGCUCAAGAAACUGAAGGUGAAGAUCGUACAGAUGAGUGAGGUGCCAAUCUUCAGUAAACAACAGGUGAGAGACAAAACACUCAUGAAAAUUGACAACAACAUCAACCUGCCAGCUGGGGCCGACACCAGCAAGAACUACACCCUCAUCCCCGCUGUCCCCUCCAGAAUGGCGCGGGGCCAAGUGUUCCUUCAAUCUGAGCUGCAGGGUAACACUUCUCCUAGCCUGGCGCCCUCCACCAUCCUGAAUCCCGAGGUCGACAAGAGAGAUCUGUUUGGCGUCCACGUCACCUACGCUGUCAGGAUCAAGGUCCCAUUAGGUACUCUUAUUGGGGACACUAUACUCGACGUGCCCUUUAUCUUGGCCGUCCAGCAAGGGCAGUGAGACGAGGAGACGGUGGUGGCUAACAGGAGACGGUGGUGGCUAACAGGAGACGGUGGUGGCUAACAGGAGACGGUGGUGGCUAACAGGAGACGGUGGUGGCUAACAGGAGACGGUGGUGGCUAACAGGAGACUAACGGUGAAGAUAACAACAAACUAUCUUCAGAUCAUUAUUACUGAGAAUAUCACUUAACCAACUACUACUUUUGUCCCUUUAACUUACGAGGAGUCUAUUAACGUGUUGCUUGUGUCUCUUCAUUAAACAUUAACAUAAGAAUUAUUACUAUUGUUCGGGUUAAUAGUUUACGUUUCUCAUUAUAUAGGUAUGUAGAUUAAGUCAAGUUUGUUUAUGUAAUGGAUUCAAGCUGUGGUUAGGUUAGGUUUGGUUAGAUUAGGGUGAUGACAGGUCUGUAGAGAUAACUUUACCAAGGUAGAAUAUUGUAGGAGUUUAGGCAGUAGUUUUUACAUUAAGUUGUAUUAUUCACCUUCAUUCUUCACCCCCUUGUGUGUUCUUGACUCCUGAUGCUGUGUUGUGGAUAACUUAUAUUCAUUUAUUCAUUGUACACCAAUUAAGAGGGAGACAUAUGGCUCGUUCUUAAUUCAACAAUACACACAGGAGAACGGCGACUAUUAACAAGGAAAUUGGCAGCUGAAGAAUCAUUUAUAAUGUUUUUUUUUUAAUAAUUGUUGAUGUUGAUUUAAUUUUUUUAUUUUACUUAUUAAUAUAAAAUGGUUAUUGAUAUAUUGUAUCUCUUAUUGUUGUUAGUGUGUGUGUGUGUGUGUGUGUGUGUGUGUGUGUGUGUGUGUGUGUGUGUAUGUGUGUGUGUGUGUGUAGU